GACGAACGCUGGCGGCGUGCUUAACACAUGCAAGUCGAACGGAAAGGCCCCUUUGGGGGUACUCGAGUGGCGAACGGGUGAGUAACACGUGAGUAACCUGCCCUUGACUUCGGGAUAACUUCAGGAAACUGGGGCUAAUACCGGAUAGGAAUCCUUGCUGCAUGGUGGGGGUUGGAAAGCUUCGGCGGUUUUGGAUGGACUCGCGGCUUAUCAGCUUGUUGGUGGGGUAGUGGCUUACCAAGGCUUUGACGGGUAGCCGGCCUGAGAGGGCGACCGGCCACAUUGGGACUGGGAUACGGCCCAGACUCCUACGGGAGGCAGCAGUGGGGAAUAUUGCACAAUGGGCGGAAGCCUGAUGCAGCAACGCCGCGGGCGGGAGGACGGCCUUCGGGUUGUAAACCGCUUUCAGCAGGGGCGAAGCUUGUGGUGACGGUACCUGCAGAAGAAGCACCGGCUAACUACGUG
Molecule: ribosomal RNA, 465 nt
Filed under: uncultured bacterium
Lineage: Bacteria
Description: partial 16S ribosomal RNA
Rfam family: Bacterial small subunit ribosomal RNA
Source: RNAcentral